UGAAUACAAGUUAUUCUUCCUUGGG
RNAcentral lists this non-coding RNA (25 nucleotides) under Rattus norvegicus (Norway rat). Lineage: Eukaryota; Metazoa; Chordata; Mammalia; Rodentia; Muridae. The record is from RNAcentral.